RNAcentral lists this ribosomal RNA (490 nucleotides) under uncultured bacterium. RNAcentral describes it as "SSU rRNA". It matches the Rfam family "Bacterial small subunit ribosomal RNA", at positions 26 to 518 of the family's 1533-position model. The record is from RNAcentral.
AGGACGAACGCUGGCGGCGUGCUUAACACAUGCAAGUGGAGCGACGAACCAGGGCUUGCCCUGGGGCAGAGCCGCGAACGGGUGAGUAACACGUGGGUUACCUGCCUCGAUGACCGGGACAACCCGAGGAAACUCGGGCUAAUACCGGAUGUGCCCGCAAGGGGAAAGGAAGCUUCGGCCUCCGCAUCGAGAUGGGCCCGCGGCCCAUUAGCUUGUUGGUGAGGUAACGGCUCACCAAGGCUUCGAUGGGUAGCUGGUCUGAGAGGACGAUCAGCCACACUGGGACUGAGACACGGCCCAGACUCCUACGGGAGCAGCAGUGGGGAAUCUUGCGCAAUGCGCGAAAGCGUGACGCAGCAACGCCGCGUGGGGGAAGAAGGCUUUCGGGUUGUAAACCCCUUUCAGUUGGGACGAAGCUUCUCCGGUGAAUAGCCGGACGGAGUGACGGUACCUUCACAGAAGCACCGGCUAACUACGUGCUAGCGGCCGC